CAGUUGAUGUCGCUUUAAGAAAAUUUCCCUCGCUUGGCUUGAGCCGUUCAGUUUAGGCGAUUGAUGCGGACGUUCUCUGACGGAACCUCGCACGGUUUUCAACGCGGAGUCUGUUUUGGAGUUAAUAUUUCUCAGCCUGCUAAAAAUGCUUGCGUCAGACUGGCUGGUGUAAGUUAACGUUCGUUGGCCUGCAGGAUGGAGCUGACUAGAAUGUCUACCGCUAACUUAAUAAAGGAGUUAAUACAAUUUGGUAUCGAAGUCACUGAAGAGGAGAGGAAAAAGUUUGAAGACAAUGAUGUGGAUGGAGAGACUGUUGACAUCGGACUGACUGAGUCAAUGAUUUCAUUCCUCUUUGAGGGAUCAUUUAAAAAACAAGCAAAAUUUCAUCGAAAUGAUGAAAGAUUGAUGAAGGAGAUGAAGGAGACAGUGACAUUAACUCUUGAACCUGUGCCUGUAGAAAGCCAGUCAAGAGCUGGAGCAAGUAAUAUCAGCCCAUCAACAGCUUUCCCUGCAUUUUUUGAAGUUCCGAAGUAAAUUUGAGCGGACACCUUUGGCUGAAGUUGAAGAAGUGAAAAGACUUAAACAGAAAUUUGGUCAUUCAAAAAAGUCUCUGCAACCUGAAGAAAGCAGUUGCAAAGAAAUUACAAGGCCUUUGGAGAUUAAUGCUGUUGGAGAGGAUGCUACAUCAAUAGAGGGACAUGUGAAAGUCCUGCAGGACCAAUAUAGAAGGACACAGCCAGAGACUCACAUUGUUAAAGAUCGAAUGAGGAGGACCUUUGCCUGGAGGCGGCAGGAGAUUACUAUUGGUAUGACUGUUGAAGAUGUCGUCAACAAAUAUCCAUUCUUGAAGAGUCCAUCAGGGCUUUAUCAAGAAAUUGGUUUCCUGUAUAAAUGUGUUCAACUGAGCCGCCAUUUUCAAGAACAUUUUGGACACAUUACAUCCAGCAUGCUACGGCUCGCUCAAGGGAAAUCCCCUCUAGCAAAGCUGCACAAAGAAGCUAGAGAAGAAUCUCUCUGUGAAGACCAUCUUGGAAUUGAUUUUAAAGCAGCACUUCUCAUGUUGCCAGCCUUGUUCAGAGAGAAACUUGAACAUUUCAUUGUGCUUGGAGAGAGUGAACCAUCCUCACCAUAUCCUACUGUUCAAGUACAGGAGACCACUGACUGGAAAACUGUGUUUACAAGAAGAGUCAGUGCAGUCUUCAAAGUUGAUGGGAUCGAAAUCUGCCAGGCAAAUCUUUGCGUUCUUUAUGGUGUUUAAGAUUUGAAGGAAAACAUCAAUAUUUUAAACAGGUUGCCAGCACGUGUAGAAAUUUUGUUAACAUUUCAUUCACUUUAAGUAAUCGACAUCAACACAGACAAUGUUGGGAAUUGUCUUCUGUUAAUAUGUUGGGGGAAUAUGAGAGAGUUGCUGGAUGUUGUGUGAGCACACCAUUUCGAUCUUUGCCUGUGGCUCUACAGCAUUCAGUGAAAGCAAAUAAGAAGUACAGCCAUGUCAAUUUUGAAGGCAAACAACUUCAACGAGUAACAGAAGUAGUGCUUAAUGAUGUCAAAUACUGUGUUAAAGAUGUUUACUGUGGGUCAUCUGCAUGCAGAAGCUGUUCCACUGUUUUUUCAGAUUGAGUACAUUGUUAACAUAGACACAGACUGGUUAUCGUGUGGCAAGCUUUUAAUUCCGGUUUCUUUUUGUCGUCAUUUUUAUUCAUACUGUGUGAAAUGUGAGAAUGAAUGGACUGUCCUCUUGCCAGGUGAAGAGGUUGAUUACCAGGCAUUAGACACGUACCACGUUGAUGACAAGUUAUUUAUUAGCACAAGAUACACUUGCUGAAGACAAACUGCUGCAAACGUCAAAAUGUGCAGUUCUUGAUGUAGCCUGUGUAAUAAGGCUGUUUUACUUGUUUGAUGAGUUUUUCUGAAUUUUUUAUUGAAUAGCUAGUUUUUUCUUGACAUGCUUGCUGUUGUGAGAUGUAAUGAAAUCUUUUUAAAAGAACAUUUCUAAAUAAAAUUGUCUAUUUGUUA
Carassius auratus (goldfish) is the source of this 2016-nucleotide long non-coding RNA. RefSeq lists it as uncharacterized. The transcript has 8 exons. Lineage: Eukaryota; Metazoa; Chordata; Actinopteri; Cypriniformes; Cyprinidae. The record is from RefSeq and is a predicted model, not a curated record.